GGUGUGGCUCAGCUUGGCUAGAGCGCCUGCUUUGGGAGCAGGAGGUCGCAGGUUCGAAUCCUGUCACC
RNAcentral lists this transfer RNA (68 nucleotides) under human gut metagenome. It matches the Rfam family "tRNA". Rfam says of the family: Transfer RNA (tRNA) molecules are approximately 80 nucleotides in length. Their secondary structure includes four short double-helical elements and three loops (D, anti-codon, and T loops). The record is from RNAcentral. RNAcentral also lists the same sequence under 2 other names.